This is a long non-coding RNA of Antechinus flavipes (yellow-footed antechinus), 1552 nucleotides long. RefSeq lists it as uncharacterized. The record is from RefSeq and is a predicted model, not a curated record. The transcript is spliced from 5 exons. Lineage: Eukaryota; Metazoa; Chordata; Mammalia; Dasyuromorphia; Dasyuridae.
UAUAUAUGGGAAUAUAAAUAUACAAGGAAAUAACAUAACAUUUUUCAUUUGCAAAAUUAAUAACAUGAUGCAACCAAUUUUUUUCUUAAACUAAAGGAAUGUGGAGAAUUCUAUGUGAAAUGCCAAGACAGACUGUGAUGCUUCAAACAACUACUAGAUAAUGGCCUCUGUAUCUCAGGGUCUGGUCACACUUUCAUAGUGCUGAUUUGUCCAUUUUUCUGCCAUAGAGGAUAAUUCACUAUAUUUGGAUUCAGGAAAAAAAUAAGCUGUGCUUACUUACUAGCUGUGCAACCAGGUAAUUUCCUCAUCAAUCAAAAUAUGCCAUUAUAUAUCAGGCAUGAUAUUAAGAGCUGCAAAUACUACUCUCACACACACACAAAAGGCCAAAAAAUUCCUUUCUUUCAAGGAGUUCCAAGUAUAAUGAGGGAGAAAACAUGCAAACAACUGUAUUAAAUAAAAUAUAUAUAAGACAAAUUGGAGAUGAUCAGCAGAAGGGAAGGCAUCUUUAAAAUAGAGAUAUCACCUACCUCACAGCAUAGUUGUAUUAAAUGAGACAAUAUAUGCAUAACCUCAAAGUGCUAUAUAAAUGCUGACUAUUAUUAUUUUCCUGAUUUCCUGUAUCUAGUCUUUCCAGUCUUCAGAUAAACAAAAGAAAUGGGUUAUUUCUCCUGUCCCACUUGGGGAGUGAGAAGGGAUGUUUUUGAGAGAGCUGCAUCUACUAAAAAUAUCACCAAUCUAUAAGAACUCUAUAUAAACAAGUAAAUGAAGUUGAACAAAGCAAACAAAUAUGGAAGAAUGACCAAUUCAUUCCAAUGUUCUAGUCCAUCACAUCUCCAAUGAGAGAAGAAGAAAUCAAGGCUAUCAGGAUUAAGUGACUUGUUCGGGGUCAUACAACUAAUGGAUUCUACUUAAGAGUGCAAGAAGAGUGAGAAAGAGAAAGUAACACAGAGAACUAUGUAAUGCAACAACUAGCAGAGAUGUUAGAAAUUAUCUUUUCCAAUUCUCUUAUUUUUCAGAAAAGGAUAUUAUUUUUUAAAGAUCAAGAUUCUAUACCUUCCAUUGUAUAUCAUUCUAUCACCCUUCUUCAGUGCUGUUGCUGUUUUGUUUCUCAGAGAUUUUUCAGAUAACACAGAUGCUUAGCAAUUUCUUCCAACAGUUUCUGUAGAACCUGUUUUUUUUGUUUGUUUGUUUUUUUCCUGAUCACUUGGCAGCAUUGAAGAAAGUACUUUUUCCUUACUUAUUUUGGGUUCCAAUUUCCUGUCACUAAUUUCUCUUUUAUUCUUUUCAAUAUGUUUACUGUUUUUGAAGUAUAAAAAACUGAAAUUAAAUGAAAUAAUGAGUAGUGAAAUGAGAACCAAGAGAAUAUUCUAUACAGUAACAACACUAUUGUCCAAAGAAUAAUUGUGUAUGACUAAGUUAUUCUGAGUAUUAUAAAGACUCCAAUUACCUCAAAAGGGCCAAUGAAAGAAAAUGCCAUCCAUCUCCAGAGAAAGAACUGAUAAAUAGAAUUAUAAAAUAAAAACAUACCCGACAGUGAAUUUCUUCACUGACA